RNAcentral lists this ribosomal RNA (253 nucleotides) under uncultured bacterium. RNAcentral's name for it is "partial 16S ribosomal RNA". It matches the Rfam family "Bacterial small subunit ribosomal RNA", at positions 524 to 776 of the family's 1533-position model. The record is from RNAcentral.
UACGUAGGGCGCAAGCGUUGUCCGGAAUUAUUGGGCGUAAAGAGCUUGUAGGCGGUUUGUCGCGUCUGCCGUGAAAAUCCGAGGCUCAACCUCGGACUUGCGGUGGGUACGGGCAGACUAGAGUGUGGUAGGGGAGACUGGAAUUCCUGGUGUAGCGGUGAAAUGCGCAGAUAUCAGGAGGAACACCGAUGGCGAAGGCAGGUCUCUGGGCCACUACUGACGCUGAGAAGCGAAAGCAUGGGGAGCGAACAGG